RNAcentral lists this ribosomal RNA (322 nucleotides) under uncultured bacterium. RNAcentral describes it as "bacterial SSU rRNA". It matches the Rfam family "Bacterial small subunit ribosomal RNA", at positions 8 to 334 of the family's 1533-position model. The record is from RNAcentral.
AGAGUUCGAUCCUGGCUCAGGACGAACGCUGGCGGCGUGCUUCAUACAUGCAAGUCGAACGAGAAGCUUACUUCGGUAAGUGGAAAGUGGCGGACGGGUGAGUAAUGUGUAGAGAAUCUGCCCUUGAGCGGGGGACAACAGCUGGAAACGGUUGCUAAUACCCCAUAUGAGGUAAGUUGAAAUACUUAUCUUGAAAACUCCGGUGCUCAAGGAUGAGUCUGCAUCUGAUUAGCUAGUUGGCGGUGUAAUGGACCACCAAGGCGACGAUCAGUAGCUGGUUUGAGAGGAUGAUCAGCCACAAUGGGACUGAGACACGGCCCAU